This 208-nucleotide long non-coding RNA is filed under the name Prunus persica (peach). RNAcentral's name for it is "long non-coding RNA (PPER_LNC005548)". The record is from RNAcentral. Lineage: Eukaryota; Viridiplantae; Streptophyta; Magnoliopsida; Rosales; Rosaceae.
UGGAAACUAAAGUGGAUUGAUAACUAGGGCGGAUUUGGCCAACUGUGGAUCCUAAAGAAGAAAAUCUAUUUGCAACUGAGAUUGGGGUGGCAACUGAAAUAGGAGGGCAACCAGGAUAGGGAACUAUCUGUUUGGGCAAUUCUGGCUUUGGUUGACUCAUGGAAGAAGGGAGAACUUGGAGCGACUGGGAUGACUUGGGCGAGUGAGA